Molecule: non-coding RNA, 72 nt
Organism: Podospora didyma
Lineage: Eukaryota; Fungi; Ascomycota; Sordariomycetes; Sordariales; Podosporaceae
Source: the annotation of a GenBank genome assembly
GGAUUAGUAGUCAAGUGGUAUGACAUAGCUCUUUCAAUGCCACCAUCCCGGGUUCGAUCCCCGUCUAGUCCA